RNAcentral lists this ribosomal RNA (176 nucleotides) under Ilex sebertii. RNAcentral's name for it is "5.8S ribosomal RNA". The stretch from base 6 to 161 matches the Rfam family "5.8S ribosomal RNA". From Rfam's summary of the family: 5.8S ribosomal RNA (5.8S rRNA) is a component of the large subunit of the eukaryotic ribosome. It is transcribed by RNA polymerase I as part of the 45S precursor that also contains 18S and 28S rRNA. Lineage: Eukaryota; Viridiplantae; Streptophyta; Magnoliopsida; Aquifoliales; Aquifoliaceae. The record is from RNAcentral.
AAAACGACUCUCGGCAACGGAUAUCUCGGCUCUCGCAUCGAUGAAGAACGUAGCGAAAUGCGAUACUUGGUGUGAAUUGCAGAAUCCCGUGAACCAUCGAGUUUUUGAACGCAAGUUGCGCCCAAAGCCNUUAGGCUAAGGGCACGUCUGCCUGGGCGUCACGCAUCGCGUCGCCC